RNAcentral lists this transfer RNA (73 nucleotides) under Anaerolineae bacterium. Its description in RNAcentral is "tRNA-Arg". It matches the Rfam family "tRNA". Rfam says of the family: Transfer RNA (tRNA) molecules are approximately 80 nucleotides in length. Their secondary structure includes four short double-helical elements and three loops (D, anti-codon, and T loops). Lineage: Bacteria; Bacillati; Chloroflexota; Anaerolineae. The record is from RNAcentral. RNAcentral also lists the same sequence under 1 other name.
GCCCCCUUAGCUCAGUGGAUAGAGCAACGGACUUCUAAUCCGUGGGUCGCAGGUUCGAAUCCUGCAGGGGGUG